RNAcentral lists this ribosomal RNA (618 nucleotides) under Triticum aestivum (bread wheat). Its description in RNAcentral is "partial small subunit ribosomal RNA". Lineage: Eukaryota; Viridiplantae; Streptophyta; Magnoliopsida; Poales; Poaceae. The record is from RNAcentral.
AUGGGCGCCGACUUGUUUGGCUAUAUAGAUCAAACCCUAAAGGAGCCUCCCAAAACCAUCACCACCAAAGACAAAGAUGGCAAGGAUCAGGUGAUUCCAAACCCUGCCUAUGCCCCCUGGUUGAUCCAGGAUCAACAGAUCGUUGCCUAUCUCCUUCACAACCUAUCCAAAGAAGUUAUUGUCCAAGCUGCCUCCCUUGAAUCCUCACGUGCGAUCUGGUCUGCACUGGCGGCUAUGUUUUCUGCCGUCUCGCUGUCCCGCGUCAACAACAUCCGAUCUGCGCUAACCAACGCGCAAAAAGGUACUCAGUCGGCCUUGGCAUACUUCGGGCACAUGCGCUCCCUCUCCGAUGAGCUCGCGGCGGCGGGCAAACCACUCGGGGAGGGGGAGCUCAUCUCUUUCAUCGUCGCGGGCUUGGACAUGGAGUACCAGCCAAUCAUCUCCACCCUCGACGUGCGCACUGAACCUGUCACCAUCAACGCACUCUUCUCCCUGGUGGCGAACUUCGAUCAGCGGAUUGAGAUGUUCCAUGGCGGUGGUGCUGGUGGCUUCAAGUCAUCGACAAACGCUGCUUCCAGGGGUCGUCCAAACACCGGCAAGGGAGGCUACCACAACUAG